UUUCCUGCAUUAGUGCAUUUUAUAUUUUCUAGUGAAACCUUGAUAGCCACAGCAACAUAUUAGUUAAGAAAAAAAACAUUUCUGUGCUCCAUUUGAUAGAUAAAUAGAACAAUUUAACUUAAAAAAAUACCUAAAUAAUCUUCUGUGUUAUUUGUGAAAACUAUUUUCUAAAAAAACAAUCUACCGCACAAAUUCUUUGGCACGCCACAUAAAUUCCACCACCAUUUCCACCAUCAAAAUGCACAGCCUCAGCCUUGUGCAUUUAGAAAAAAAAAAUCAUAAAAAUAUGACACAAAAACCACCAACAAUUGAUUUGGAAAAUAAAGUGGAGAUCAAUUCCAGACAUCAAUGACUGAGUUUACAGUUCAAAAGGUUUCUCCACGCUAUCCCGAACAAGUGAAAUGAAUCUUAUGUUUAAUAGAGACUACAAUACAAUACUUGAGUGUGAUCCACAUUCCACAGACUUGUAGUGUCUGCUCUAAUCCUAGACAAAAACAACAUUCAACAAUAGGGAAGUUCGAACAUUUGUCUUUCUAUUUACAGUUACCAUUUUGACGUUUUAAACUCGGCGAAAAUCAAAACAAACCAGCAAAAACAAACCAACAAAACAAAAAAGCAAAAAAUACAGCAUAGAAAUAUAUUUUAAAUUCCGUAAUUUUUUCGAUUUUUAGACACUAAAUUAAGUUAUAGUAGAACGUUACUACCAAAAAAACACUUGAAAUCGAUUUGUAUGAGUUUUUUUUUUUUUACAAACAACAGUUCUUUAAAAUUGCGCGCGUCCUUGAAAAAUUUGGUUUGUUUUGAUCUUCACCCAGUUUAGGAGAUAUUUUUUUCUAUUUUCUUUUGUUCUUUUGGUACUGACAGAUGAGCGAAAUUCCGAAUUCUAUAUCGGGUAUAAACAGAGCAGCGUCAGAGCAGCGUUGCCAGAUUCCCCGAUUUUCGUAUUUCUCCCGAUUUGUUGAGCUAUUUACGAUUGCCCGAUUUUAGCCGUUUUUUAUUAUCACUUGAUCCAUAUAGAUCAUUAACUAAAAUGUAUUAUAACAACUACAUGAGAUCUUGCUUUUUAUCAGGAUCACGAAUCGUGAUCUUGCUUUUCAUCAGGAUCACGAAUCGUGAUCUUGCAAGAUCUCAUGUAGUUGUUGUAAUACAUUUUAAUUAAUGAUCUAUAUGGAUCAAGAGAUAAUAAAAAACGGCUUUUGUGUUUAAAAAUUAGGUUUUCUCCCGAUUUUCAAUUCAAAAAAGAAUGUGCUACCUUAACAUCGUCACUUUUUUCAUAGAAACCUUUAAAAUUUUAUUUUAAAGUUGGCAGAACUUCAAUUAAAUGUUAUAAAAAUUCCUUUCGUCUUAUUUGUUUCCUUUUUUUAAUUUGUUGGUUUUAAUCUAUCAAGAGAAUACCUGAGUAACAAAAAGGAUCAUUCCACAAUUCGUUAUCGACAGACGAUAUCGUUAUGACGAUAAUCUUGCUUCACUUAAAAGCGAUAGUUAACUUUUAUCAGACGACAUCGUUUUGACGAUUGAAAAAUUUUUUUCUGUCUGGUCAAUAAUAUUUUAAAAAAUGUCUUUAAAACGACAGCGCUUAUUGACGAUAGGUAAA
Episyrphus balteatus (marmalade hoverfly) is the source of this 1594-nucleotide long non-coding RNA. RefSeq lists it as uncharacterized. The transcript has 3 exons. The record is from RefSeq and is a predicted model, not a curated record. Lineage: Eukaryota; Metazoa; Arthropoda; Insecta; Diptera; Syrphidae.